RNAcentral lists this ribosomal RNA (474 nucleotides) under uncultured bacterium. RNAcentral's name for it is "bacterial SSU rRNA". It matches the Rfam family "Bacterial small subunit ribosomal RNA", at positions 30 to 518 of the family's 1533-position model. The record is from RNAcentral.
UGAACGCUGGCGGCGUGCUUAACACAUGCAAGUCGAACGAAGUUUAAGGAGCUUGCUUUUAAACGUUAGUGGCGGACGGGUGAGUAACGCGUGGGUAACCUGCCUUUCACAGGGGGAUAACAGUUAGAAAUGACUGCUAAUACCGCAUAAGCGCACAGGACGGCAUCGUCUAGUGUGAAAAACUCCGGUGGUGAAAGAUGGACCCGCGUCUGAUUAGCUAGUUGGUGAGGUAACGGCUCACCAAGGCGACGAUCAGUAGCCGGCCUGAGAGGGUGAACGGCCACAUUGGGACUGAGACACGGCCCAAACUCCUACGGGAGGCAGCAGUGGGGAAUAUUGCACAAUGGGGGAAACCCUGAUGCCAGCGACGCCGCGUGAGUGAAGAAGUAUUUCGGUAUGUAAAGCUCUAUCAGCAGGGAAGAAAAUGACGGUACCUGACUAAGAAGCCCCGGCUAACUACGUGCCAGCAGCGGC